GUCACACCCCCAAACCUGAACGGCGGAAUCGUUCGAGGGCGGAGGACAUCAUAUGCAGUAUCAUAACAGUUCAUAGAAAGGAAAGUACACACCACCAUAAUAUAAAACAUAUUUGAAAAGUUUACAUGAUUGUAGGUGUUACAUGUUUGCAAAAGAAAUCAAAUAUAAAAUGGUGAUCCAAAAUAUGUUACUAACGCCAAUGCGUUAGUCUUCAGAAGUAGUUGCUACCUGGCUAGCGGUUUCCUGUGAAUACAAGUUAUUUCAAAGAAAAAGUGUCAACAUUUAAGUUGGUGAGUUCAUAAGUAGUGUUUUGAGAAGAUGUAUGCCAUUCGAAAGUGUUUGCAUGUUAUCCAGAAAAACCCUUAUUUUCUUAUAAAAGUAUGCAAUGCAUAUGAAUGUUCGUGAUGUAAAUUGCAACUAAUUGUACCGAGAAAAUCCCUUAUUUUCCUAUUAGUUGUUUGGUUUGUAUACAGGAAAAACCCUUAUUUCCCUGACAUAACUGGCAGUCUCUAAGACCGAAAACCGCAAGCAAGCGACGUGCUCGUAAGGUGUGGCAUAGUUUUAUNUUUUCCUAUUAGUGGUUUGGUUUGUAUACAGGAAAAACCCUUAUUUCCCUGACAUAACUGGCAGUCUCUAAGACCGAAAACCGCAAGCAAGCGACGUGCUCGAAAGGUGUGGCAUAGUUUUAUAUAAUAAAGCUAUACGAAGAUCGCAUUUGUUAGAUGAAGAAUAGUUUUAAUAGCUACUCUUUCAUAAAAGCAUAAUACCAUAAUAAUUGUAUAUCCGAUGAGUUUUAUAACCAUACUAAACAUAAUAUGCCUG
Molecule: long non-coding RNA, 822 nt
Filed under: Lactuca sativa (garden lettuce)
Lineage: Eukaryota; Viridiplantae; Streptophyta; Magnoliopsida; Asterales; Asteraceae
Description: long non-coding RNA (LSAT_LNC000105)
Source: RNAcentral